RNAcentral lists this ribosomal RNA (1283 nucleotides) under metagenome. RNAcentral's name for it is "SSU rRNA". It matches the Rfam family "Eukaryotic small subunit ribosomal RNA", at positions 499 to 1801 of the family's 1831-position model. The record is from RNAcentral.
CGUCUGGUAAUUGGAAUGAGUACAAUUUAAAUCCCUUAACGAGGAUCAAUUGGAGGGCAAGUCUGGUGCCAGCAGCCGCGGUAAUUCCAGCUCCAAUAGCGUAUAUUAAAGUUGCUGCAGUUAAAAAGCUCGUAGUUGAAUUUCUGGUACGAUGUGCCUGGUCCACGGUCGCAAGGCCGCGCGUAUCGGAGUACGUCUGCCAUCCUUCUAGUUAACUGGCUAUACUUAACUGUGUGGUCAGCAACCUAGAUCUUUUACUUUGAAAAAAUUAGAGUGUUUAAAGCAGGCUCGCGCUGUGAAUACAUUAGCAUGGAAUAAUAAUUUAGGACUUUGCUUCUAUUUUAUUGGUUUCUAGGGGUAAAGUAAUGAUUGAUAGGGAUAGUUGGGGGUGCUAGUAUUCAUCGGCCAGAGGUGAAAUUCUUGGAUUCGAUGAAGACUAACUUAUGCGAAAGCAUUCACCAAGGAUGUCUUCUUUAAUCAAGAACGAAAGUUGGGGGAUCGAAGACGAUCAGAUACCGUCGUAGUCUCAACCAUAAACUAUACCGACUAGGGAUUAGUGGAAGUUGCUAUAUCGACUCCAUUAGCACCUUAUGAGAAAUCAGAAGUCUUUGGGUUCUGGGGGGAGUAUGGUCGCAAGGCUGAAACUUAAAGGAAUUGACGGAAGGGCACCACCAGGAGUGGAGCCUGCGGCUUAAUUUGACCCAACACGGGGAAACUUACCAGGUCCGGACAUAGUGAGGAUUGACAGAUUGAAGUUCUUUCUUGAUUCUAUGGGUGGUGGUGCGUGGCCGUUCUUAGUUGGUGGAGUGAUUUGUCUGGUUAAUUCCGUUAACGAACGAGACCUCGACCUGCUAAAUAGUAUGACGUAGGCUCUGUCUAUGGACAUGACUUCUUAGAGGGACUGUCGGUUUUUAGCCGAAGGAAGUUCGAGGCAAUAACAGGUCUGUGAUGCCCUUAGAUGUUCUGGGCCGCACGCGCGCUACACUGAUACGUGCAUCGAGCUUACAACCUUGGCUGGGAGGCCUGGGUAAUCUUUGAAAAGCGUAUCGUGCUGGGGAUAGAUUAUUGUAAUUAUUAAUCUUCAACGAGGAAUUCCUAGUAAGCGCGAGUCAUCAACUCGCACUGAUUACGUCCCUGCCCUUUGUACACACCGCCCGUCGCUGCUACCGAUUGAAUGCAUUAGUGAGCUUGAGGGAUCGUUUAGCUUGAGGGUCAAACUUCGAGUUAAGUGAGAACUCACGCAAACUUGCGCAUUUAGAGGAAGCAAAAGUCGUAACAAGGUU